AGGAUGAACGCUAGCGGCAGGCCUAAUACAUGCAAGUCGAACGAGAUCAGAGACUUCGGUUUCUGGUUUAGUGGCGCACGGGUGCGUAACGCGUAUGCAACCUACCUUUUCCUGGGGGAUAGCCCGUCGAAAGACGGAUUAAUACCGCAUAACAUAACUGACCUGGCAUCGGGUUGUUAUCAAAGCUUUCGAGCGGGAGAAGAUAGGGCAUGCGUGCCAUUAGCUAGUUGGGACGGGUAAAGGCCCACAAGGCGACGAUGGCUAGGGGUUCUGAGAGGAUCGGUCCCCACACUGGUACUGAGACACGGACCAGACUCCGUACGGGAGCAGCAGGUAGGAAUAGUGGCAAGUGGGACGAGACGCCGUA
RNAcentral lists this ribosomal RNA (367 nucleotides) under uncultured soil bacterium. RNAcentral describes it as "bacterial SSU rRNA". It matches the Rfam family "Bacterial small subunit ribosomal RNA", at positions 26 to 386 of the family's 1533-position model. The record is from RNAcentral.